Molecule: long non-coding RNA, 203 nt
Filed under: Mytilus galloprovincialis (Mediterranean mussel)
Lineage: Eukaryota; Metazoa; Mollusca; Bivalvia; Mytilida; Mytilidae
Source: RNAcentral
UGUACGCAUCCGAGACUACAUCCACUAUUGUAACAGUUUCAAGGUGUUUCUUAACGAGUAUGCUGAUUGGGUAUUAUGUCCUUACCUUAAUAAAAUACCUUGAAACUGUAACAAGAGUGGAUGAAAUCUUUGAUGAGUAUAGUAGUUGUAGCAACAAAUGCCCAGGAUAUUCUAUCUUAUCCACCACGUGAUGUAUUUCAAGU